Molecule: ribosomal RNA, 497 nt
Filed under: uncultured bacterium
Lineage: Bacteria
Description: partial 16S ribosomal RNA
Rfam family: Bacterial small subunit ribosomal RNA
Source: RNAcentral
GAUGAACGCUGGCGGCGUGCCUAAUACAUGCAAGUCGAGCGAACAGAUGAGGAGCUUGCUCCUCUGACGUUAGCGGCGGACGGGUGAGUAACACGUGGAUAACCUACCUAUAAGACUGGGAUAACUUCGGGAAACCGGAGCUAAUACCGGAUAAUAUAUUGAACCGCAUGGUUCAAUAGUGAAAGACGGUUUUGCUGUCACUUAUAGAUGGAUCCGCGCCGCAUUAGCUAGUUGGUAAGGUAACGGCUUACCAAGGCAACGAUGCGUAGCCGACCUGAGAGGGUGAUCGGCCCCACUGGAACUGAGACACGGUCCAGACUCCUACGGGAGGCAGCAGUAGGGAAUCUUCCGCAAUGGGCGAGAGCCUGACGGAGCAACGCCGCGUGAGUGAUGAAGGUCUUCGGAUCGUAAAACUCUGUUAUUAGGGAAGAACAAAUGUGUAAGUAACUAUGCACGUCUUGACGGUACCUGAUCAGAAAGCCACGGCUAACUACGUG